GGGCUAUAAGGAAAAGAUGAUAAGAAUAUUCAGAAUUUUGAUUUCUGACAAAUUAUUCGUUAAGGUAAUGCAGGGAAACAUCCAAGGGCUACUCGGAUACUGGGCAUUUGCUCUCGAAGGCCUUCUGCUCCUCACGACAAAAGUCAAACUCAUUUGUGUGGUAGUACAUGCAGCCAGCAUAAUCAUCCAUCUCUUUGGUACAUCUCUGGUGAAGAUCUUUUAACAGAUUGAGGACGCAGUGGGUGACGGCGCGGCCCUUGCCGAGGCAUUUCUCGGGGUUCGGGUCCUUCUUCUUGCAAUUGAUAAAAGCCAUGUUCUCCGGACGGCACCUGACGGCGAUGUGCUUCGACGCCGCCAUCAGGACGGCCGACGUCGGGAUCGGGUCGCCGGACGCGUCGAAGUUGCUCGACAUCGCGGAUCGCCGCCCUCGGUUCGAGCUCGAGAGAUGGGAGUGGCGGGUCUGGGGUGAGGCUUCAGCGGCG
RNAcentral lists this unclassified non-coding RNA (482 nucleotides) under Hevea brasiliensis (rubber tree). The record is from RNAcentral. Lineage: Eukaryota; Viridiplantae; Streptophyta; Magnoliopsida; Malpighiales; Euphorbiaceae.